Molecule: ribosomal RNA, 446 nt
Filed under: uncultured bacterium
Lineage: Bacteria
Description: bacterial SSU rRNA
Rfam family: Bacterial small subunit ribosomal RNA
Source: RNAcentral
GGCCAGACUCCUACGGGAGGCAGCAGUGGGGAAUAUUGCACAAUGGGGGAAACCCUGAUGCAGCGACGCCGCGUGAGUGAAGAAGUAUUUCGGUAUGUAAAGCUCUAUCAGCAGGGAAGAAAAUGACGGUACCUGACUAAGAAGCCCCGGCUAACUACGUGCCUGCAGCCGCGGUAAUACGUAGGGGGCAAGCGUUAUCCGGAUUUACUGGGUGUAAAGGGAGCGUAGACGGCAUGGCAAGUCAGAUGUGAAAGCCCGGGGCUCAACCCCGGGACUGCAUUUGAAACUGUCAGGCUGGAGUGCAGGAGAGGUAAGUGGAAUUCCUAGUGUAGCGGUGAAAUGCGUAGAUAUUAGGAGGAACACCAGUGGCGAAGGCGGCUUACUGGACUGUAACUGACGUUGAGGCUCGAAAGCGUGGGGAGCAAACAGGAUUAGAUACCCGAGUA